UGGGGAAUCUUGCGCAAAUGCGGGAAACCGUGACGCAGCGACGCCGCGUGGGGGAAGAAGGCCUUCGGGUUGUAAACCUCUUUCAGGAGGGACGAAGCUACUCGGGUUAAUAGCCCAGAGGGUGACGGUACCUUCAGGAGAAGCCCCGGCUAACUACGUGCCAGCAGCCGCGGUAAUACGUAGGGGGCAAGCGUUGUCCGGAUUUAUUGGGCGUAAAGAGCGUGUAGGCGGCUUAGCAAGUCUGCUGUGAAAACUCGAGGCUCAACCUCGAGAUGUCGGCGGAAACUGCUUGGCUAGAGUCCGGAAGAGGAGAGUGGAAUUCCUGGUGUAGCGGUGAAAUGCGCAGAUAUCAGGAAGAACACCUAUGGCGAAGGCAGCUCUCUGGGACGGUACUGACGCUGAGACGCGAAAGCGUGGGGAGCGAACAGGAUUAGGAUACCCUGGUAGUCCACGCCGUAAACGAUGGGUGCUAGGUGUGGGCGGUGUCGACUCCGUCCGUGCCGAAGCUAACG
This 512-nucleotide ribosomal RNA is filed under the name uncultured Actinomycetes bacterium. Its description in RNAcentral is "bacterial SSU rRNA". It matches the Rfam family "Bacterial small subunit ribosomal RNA", at positions 355 to 857 of the family's 1533-position model. The record is from RNAcentral. Lineage: Bacteria; Bacillati; Actinomycetota; Actinomycetes.